Molecule: long non-coding RNA, 279 nt
Filed under: Gossypium barbadense (sea-island cotton)
Lineage: Eukaryota; Viridiplantae; Streptophyta; Magnoliopsida; Malvales; Malvaceae
Description: long non-coding RNA (GBAR_LNC022075)
Source: RNAcentral
UGGAGAUUAUCACUGGAGGAAAGGUGGUGAGGUUCACUUGAAUGAUCCUCUUGCUAUAGCAAAGCUGCAAGAAGCUGCCAGGAGUAACAGCGUUGCUGCCUACAAGGAAUAUGCCAAACGUAUCCAUGAAUUGAAUAAAACCUGUAACCUGCGUGGUAUGUUGAAGUUUAAGGAGUCAGAAGCCAAAAUUCCAUUGGAUGAGGUGGAACCUGCCAGUGAAAUUGUGAAAAGGUUUUGUACUGGGGCCAUGAGUUAUGGAUCAAUAUCAUUGGAGGCACA